RNAcentral lists this long non-coding RNA (401 nucleotides) under Equus caballus (horse). Its description in RNAcentral is "lncRNA (ENSECAG00000053985.1)". Lineage: Eukaryota; Metazoa; Chordata; Mammalia; Perissodactyla; Equidae. The record is from RNAcentral.
AUCAAACUGGUGUCUGUUGUAUGAGGCGAUAAGAGUUUUUAAUCAGACACACAGCUUAUUUAUUUUUUUCAGAAAUAUAGGAGGGAAGGAUCCUUCUAGAGAAAUGUUACUGCAAUAACCUUGACACUAAUUACUAAAUAUUAAACGAACAUUUUAAUAUUAAGAGUGCAAUAGAAAUGUGCAGCUGGUUAUACCUGGGUGAAAUGUCCUCUACAUUCUAUGACUGUUUGUUAUACAUCUCCUAGCAAAGAUGACACUCCUGGUAUGAUAUUUACCAAGCUUGAGAAAAUUGUUGUAAAGCAAAUCCUGGACGUGACAUUAUUUCACCCAUAAAUACUUCAACAUGCUUCAUCAGAAUUAGGUAUAGUAAUAUGAUUGACGACUGAAACUCAAGAGGCUCA